RNAcentral lists this ribosomal RNA (1014 nucleotides) under Cixius similis. RNAcentral describes it as "partial 28S ribosomal RNA". It matches the Rfam family "Eukaryotic large subunit ribosomal RNA", at positions 1311 to 1889 of the family's 3401-position model. Lineage: Eukaryota; Metazoa; Arthropoda; Insecta; Hemiptera; Cixiidae. The record is from RNAcentral.
CCUGAAAAUGGAUGGCGCUAAGCGUCGUGCCUAUACCGGGCCGUCAACGGCACAGUGGGCCUCUGCCUUUGGGCAAGAGCCGUUACGCCUUGACGAGUAGGAGGGUCGCGGCGGUGUGCGCAGAAGGGUCUGGGCGUGAGCCUGCCUGGAGCCGCCGUCGGCGCAGAUCUUGGUGGUAGUAGCAAAUACUCUAGAGAGGGCCUGGAGAGCCGAUGUGGAGAAGGGUUUCUUGUGAACAGCCGUUGUACAAGAGUAAGUCGAUCCUAAGUGCUAGGAGAAAUCCGAUGUUGAUGGUCUGGCUGUCGACUUCUAUUCUCAACACUUUGAAAACGCUUUAGGCUUCCGGGCCGUAAAAGCGUAUGUUCUUUCUUGUCAUGCACUCUAUAGAAUCAUCAUUCUGCGUGAAUGUCUUUACAUUCAUGCUGGUAUCCUUCAGUGGACCAGCCUGGGAGUGAAAUGAUAUAUUUAGUGUGGAUUUUCUCAGGUGUGUUUUCCGGCGGACUAGUCCGUACGGUUCUGAACGACUACCUUUUUCUCACACUAGUGUGAUUUCGUUUCUCAUGUCAGAGAAAGUCCAAGCUCUACGACACAUUGUUGUCGUGCUAGCCAUGCAAAAGCGUUGGCACUAGCCUAGGAGCUUUUGUUCAAGAAAGAACGAUGUGUUAUCCUUUAGCCCGUUGAAGGGCGAAAGGGGAUCCGGUCAACAUUCCGGAACCCGGCUGCGUAAACCGCUCUCUGUUGGCAUUAGCCGGCGAGCGCUUUGUUGGGGUAACCCAAGCUGUCCCGGAGACUCUGGCGGGGGGUCUGGGAAGAGUUCUCUUUUCUUUUUAAGCGUUCGUGGACCCUGGAAUUCUAUAGCAGAGAGAUAGGGUUUGGAACGCGAAAAACAUCGCAGUUGCGGCGGUGACCGGACUUCCCCCCCGGACCUUGAAAAUCUGGGUGAGAGCGACGCGGUGAUCGCGCCGGUUCGUAUCCAUAUCCGCAUCUGGUCUCCAAGGUCAAAGCCUCUGUCGA